GGAAGGAUCAUUAAAGGAAAAAAAAAACACAAAAAACAGGGGCCUAGGGGAACUUUAAAAAACUCCCCAAAGCUCUUGCCUUACUUUUGAAGCACUGCACCCACGACUUGGCGUGGUUCACCUUUCCCUUUUUACUAAGGGGGGGGGGGUGAGGUAGAUCAAACUUUGGCUUUCGGGAAAUUAGGAGGACGGUCUAAUUAAAGCUUAUGUGAAACCCUUUUUAAGUUAGGGGGAGUAGGGUCUGCUUAGUUUUACUUAACUUUUUUUCUGUGGUCAGGGUUUACAAAACCUACCAAAACAACCUAGAGGUCGUUAACUUAACCUUAAAACCCAUAUAUUUUUAACACACAUACUCUAUAAAAAUCUUAUGUACAACUUUUAACGGUGGAUGUCUCGGCUUUCGUAUCGAUGAAGAACGUAGCAAAGUGCGAUAAGUGAUGGAAAUUGCAGAAUACUUCGACUCAUCGAAUUUUUGAAUGCAACCUGCACCCGGGGUUAGUCCUCGGGUCUACCUAUUUGAGCUCGGUUAUAUCAUUAAAACAAAUCUUUUCUAUUAAGAAAGGGAUAUUGAGGUGUUAACCUUUGUUUUUUAACGGGGGUUAUCCCUUUAAAUGAACUUAAGGGGUACAAGUCUUCAGGGCUUCUCUUGAAUUUUUUACCUUAGCUUUACGUUUAAGCAUAUUGGGGUCAAAGAGUUCUAAGUAGGGGCCCCUAGGGGAUUUUGUUCUUACUUAAAAAAAACCAGAAACUAGUCCCUUUAGACAGGGCUAGAGAACCUAAAUCUUUUACACCGACUCAAAUUAGGUAGGAAUACCCGCUGAAUUUAAGCAUAUCAUUAGGCGGAGGAAAAGAAAUUAACAAAGAUUCCCCCAGUAAUGGCGAAUGAACAGGGAAAAGCUCACGCUGAAUCUGUGGAGACUAGCUUCUUUACCGAAAUGUAGCGUUCCAACUGGUCUUGUCGGAUGAUCUGGCAGCUGAAGUUCCCUGGAAAGGGACACCACUGAGGGUGACAGUCCCGUGAGCUGUUAAAGGUUAUUCGUACUAGUGGCCAGCUUGUAGAGUCGAGUUGUUUUGGAGUACAACUCUAAUCGGGUGAUAAACUUCAUCCAAAGCUAAAUAUUGACGAAAGACCGAUAGCGAACAAGUACCGUGAGGGAAAGGUGAAAAGAACUUUGAAAAGAGAGUUAAAAGUACCUGAAACCGUUAAAAGGUAAGCGAUCGGCACCAUCGUUUUACCGAACCUAUGAUUCAUCCGUAGAGCUUGUAGGGUUGUGGCUAAGGGAGUCUGUAAAAGGACCUCUUCUGUUGCUUCCUGAAUGGCUAUGCGGUGCACUUUGUGGGCUCUUUUUUGCGUCAGGGUCAUCUCUAGGGGGGAAAACAAGGGCUGCAUGGAGGUACCCAGCUUUUAGUUGGGGAUUCAACGUGUGGACACCUAUCCUCUCUAGGGAUGAGGGUCUUGAAAGGGAUAACAUUGCUGGUGGUAUUCUCGGCUAGGGUAUGGGGAGCCUCAAAAACUUCCCAAUUCGACGCCUGAAAUCAGUAUUGACUCUGACUUAGAUGGAAUCGAUCGUCCCGUCUUGAAACACGGACCAAGGAGUUUAAAUUGUGCGCGAGCUUUAGGGUACGAAAAACCCAAGAGCGUAAUGAAAGUGAAUAACGCCUGAAGGCUUCUGCGGGAGCAACUGCAAGGUGAACCGGCACCACCUUAUUAGAUGGUGUCCGAGUAAGAGUGUACAGUUUAAGACCCGAAAGGUGGCGAACUAUGCUUGUGUAGAGUGAAGCCAGAAGAAAUUCUGGUGGAGGCUCGUAGCGGUAUUGACGUGCAAAUCAUUCGUCAAACAUGGGUAUAGCGGCGAAAGACUAAUCGAGCCGCCUAGUAGCUGGUUCCUCU
Molecule: unclassified non-coding RNA, 1891 nt
Filed under: uncultured fungus
Lineage: Eukaryota; Fungi
Description: sequence contains 18S rRNA gene, ITS1, 5.8S rRNA gene, ITS2, 28S rRNA gene
Rfam family: Eukaryotic large subunit ribosomal RNA (bases 791-1891)
Source: RNAcentral